Molecule: ribosomal RNA, 455 nt
Filed under: Enterobacter hormaechei
Lineage: Bacteria; Pseudomonadati; Pseudomonadota; Gammaproteobacteria; Enterobacterales; Enterobacteriaceae
Description: bacterial SSU rRNA
Rfam family: Bacterial small subunit ribosomal RNA
Source: RNAcentral
AUUGAACGCUGGCGGCAGGCCUAACACAUGCAAGUCGAACGGUAACAGGAAGCAGCUUGCUGCUUUGCUGACGAGUGGCGGACGGGUGAGUAAUGUCUGGGAAACUGCCUGAUGGAGGGGGAUAACUACUGGAAACGGUAGCUAAUACCGCAUAACGUCGCAAGACCAAAGAGGGGGACCUUCGGGCCUCUUGCCAUCGGAUGUGCCCAGAUGGGAUUAGCUAGUAGGUGGGGUAAAGGCUCACCUAGGCGACGAUCCCUAGCUGGUCUGAGAGGAUGACCAGCCACACUGGAACUGAGACACGGUCCAGACUCCUACGGGAGGCAGCAGUGGGGAAUAUUGCACAAUGGGCGCAAGCCUGAUGCAGCCAUGCCGCGUGUAUGAAGAAGGCCUUCGGGUUGUAAAGUACUUUCAGCGGGGAGGAAGGGAGUAAAGUUAAUACCUUUGCUCAUCGA